GCCCUUGAGGCGUGGCUUCCGGAGCUAACGCGUUAAGUCGACCGCCUGGGGAGUACGGCCGCAAGGUUAAAACUCAAAUGAAUUGACGGGGGCCCGCACAAGCGGUGGAGCAUGUGGUUUAAUUCGAUGCAACGCGAAGAACCUUACCUACUCUUGACAUCCAGAGAACUUACCAGAGAUGCUUUGGUGCCUUCGGGAACUCUGAGACAGGUGCUGCAUGGCUGUCGUCAGCUCGUGUUGUGAAAUGUUGGGUUAAGUCCCGCAACGAGCGCAACCCUUAUCCUUUGUUGCCAGCGGUUCGGCCGGGAACUCAAAGGAGACUGCCAGUGAUAAACUGGAGGAAGGUGGGGAUGACGUCAAGUCAUCAUGGCCCUUACGAGUAGGGCUACACACGUGCUACAAUGGCGCAUACAAAGAGAAGCGACCUCGCGAGAGCAAGCGGACCUCAUAAAGUGCGUCGUAGUCCGGAUUGGAGUCUGCAACUCGACUCCAUGAAGUCGGAAUCGCUAGUAAUCGUAGAUCAGAAUGCUACGGUGAAUACGUUCCCGGGCCUUGUACACACCGCCCGUCACACCAUGGGAGUGGGUUGCAAAAGAAGUAGGUAGCUUAACCUUCGGGAGGGCGCUUACCACUUUGUGAUUCAUGACUGGGGUGAAGU
RNAcentral lists this ribosomal RNA (658 nucleotides) under Enterobacteriaceae bacterium EKM101E. RNAcentral describes it as "bacterial SSU rRNA". It matches the Rfam family "Bacterial small subunit ribosomal RNA", at positions 828 to 1486 of the family's 1533-position model. Lineage: Bacteria; Pseudomonadati; Pseudomonadota; Gammaproteobacteria; Enterobacterales; Enterobacteriaceae. The record is from RNAcentral.